RNAcentral lists this ribosomal RNA (233 nucleotides) under uncultured bacterium. RNAcentral's name for it is "partial 16S ribosomal RNA". It matches the Rfam family "Bacterial small subunit ribosomal RNA", at positions 524 to 750 of the family's 1533-position model. The record is from RNAcentral.
UACGUAGGGUGCGAGCGUUGUCCGGAAUUAUUGGGCGUAAAGGGCUCGUAGGCGGUCUGUCACGUCAGGAGUGAAAACUCGGGGCUCAACCCCGAGCCUGCUUCUGAUACGGGCAGGACUGGAGGUAUGGCAGGGGAGAACGGAAUUCCUGGUGUAGCGGGUGAAAUGCGCAGAUAUCAAGGAGGAACACCGGUGGCGAAGGCGGUUCUCGUGGGCGAUUACCUGACGCUGAG